This 254-nucleotide ribosomal RNA is filed under the name uncultured bacterium. Its description in RNAcentral is "partial 16S ribosomal RNA". It matches the Rfam family "Bacterial small subunit ribosomal RNA", at positions 524 to 776 of the family's 1533-position model. The record is from RNAcentral.
GACGAACCGUGCGAACGUUAUUCGGAAUCACUGGGCUUAAAGCGCGUGUAGGCGGAUCGGCGCGUCGGUUGUUGAAAGCCCCUGGCUCAACCAGGGAAUCGGCACCGAUACGGCUGGUCUGGAGGGAGGUAGGGGGAGCCGGAACUUCCGGUGGAGCGGUGAAAUGCGUUGAGAUCGGAAGGAACGCCCGUGGCGAAAGCGGGCUCCUGGACCUCACCUGACGCUGAGACGCGAAAGCUAGGGGAGCAAACGGG